Molecule: long non-coding RNA, 391 nt
Organism: Homo sapiens (human)
Lineage: Eukaryota; Metazoa; Chordata; Mammalia; Primates; Hominidae
Exons: 2
Source: RefSeq, a predicted model, not a curated record
GUACUGCCAGGCGCUAAAGCGGAUGAAAAGGAACUGCACGUUCCUGCGCCGCAGGUGCACCUCGGUGAUGAUGGGCUGCAGGAACACCAGACCUGGAAACCCAGCCGUCUCCACCUCUGCUGCCGCCACCCCGGCAAGGCUGCCGCACCUCUCGCCUGGAUUUUUGCAAUCUCCUGCUCCCUCGGCCACCUGCUUCCGUCCUCCUCCCAUAGCCCAUUCUCCUGGAGAUCCUGUCAGCUCACAUCCAUCCUCGGCUCCUGCCUCCUUUGGGCAAAAGCCGAAGUACUGGCUCCUUGCUGGCCCGGGAACAUGCCUCCUCAGGGUCUCUGCUCAAACGCUGCCUUAAUGAGGCCCAGCCUGACAACCCGAUUUAAAUCUGCAAACCCUGACA